UUUUACAUGUAUCAUAAGGAAAUGAAUCAGGCGAAAAAAAAUCUAAAGAACAUGUAAAAUUUAGUGAAGGAAAAUUUUGGAAAGAAACUUUCUUGGAGUUUUAAUGCCAUUUUCCUUGAGUACAUGCAUCUCGAAACCUCAGGCUGAUAAGAAUGGUCUAUGCUUUUGUUCCUUACACUUCUUUGAUACUGAAACUGUUUAUCCUGGACACUCAAA
Molecule: long non-coding RNA, 216 nt
Filed under: Brassica napus (rape)
Lineage: Eukaryota; Viridiplantae; Streptophyta; Magnoliopsida; Brassicales; Brassicaceae
Description: long non-coding RNA (BNAP_LNC023005)
Source: RNAcentral